This 477-nucleotide ribosomal RNA is filed under the name uncultured anaerobic ammonium-oxidizing bacterium. RNAcentral describes it as "bacterial SSU rRNA". It matches the Rfam family "Bacterial small subunit ribosomal RNA", at positions 365 to 832 of the family's 1533-position model. The record is from RNAcentral.
UUCGCAAUGCCCGAAAGGGUGACGAAGCGACGCCGCGUGAGCGAAGAAGGCCCUAGGGUUGUAAAGCUCUGUCGGGGGUUAUGAAAUUUAGAUCGGUUAAUACCCGGUUUAUUUGACAAAAGCCCAAAAGGAAGCCACGGCUAACUCUGUGCCAGCAGCCGCGGUAAUACAGAGGUGGCGAGCGUUGUUCGGUAUUAUUGGGCGUAAAGAGCACGUAGGUGGUUUUGUAAGUCAGGUGUGAAAGCCUUCUGUUCAACGGGAGAAUUGCAUCUGAAACUGCAAGUCUUGAGUAUAGGAGGGGAGAGUGGAACUUCUGGUGGAGCGGUGAAAUGCGUAGAUAUCAGAAGGAACGUCGGCGGCGAAAGCGACUCUCUGGCCUAUUACUGACACUGAGUGUGCGAAAGUUAGGGGAGCAAACGGGAUUAGAUACCCCGGUAGUCCUAACUGUAAACGAUGGGCACUAAGUAGAGGGGUUUU